Molecule: long non-coding RNA, 5458 nt
Filed under: Sorghum bicolor (sorghum)
Lineage: Eukaryota; Viridiplantae; Streptophyta; Magnoliopsida; Poales; Poaceae
Description: long non-coding RNA (SBIC_LNC000079)
Source: RNAcentral
ACUCCUAGGUGCAUACCUGCCUUCUGGGCACAUGAGGGAUAGGAUUGUACCAGCCAGCUAGGUUUGGCCUUGCUGCCUCGUUGCGACCUUCACUGGUAGCUACUCCCUGUGUGCCUAUUUGAAGUAGCAGAGCGGCGGAAAAGCUGAGAUCAGACUGCUUGAUUUCACGGGAUGUGUAGUUGUGUGUUCCUGCCCAUGACGGACGAAUGCUGAUGCUGUGAGGGGGUUGCCGGCUUGCUGCUGCCAUUGGGUUGGGCCCUGUGAUUGGUCUAAUAGUUCAUUGCUAGGGACAUCCAUGACGGACAAAUGCUGAUGCUGUGAGGGGGUUGCCGGCUUGCUGCUGCCAUUGGGUUGGGCCCUGUGAUUGGUCUAAUAGUUCAUUGCUAGGGACAUCCAUGACGGACGAAUGCUGAUGCUGUGAGGGGGUUGCCGGCUUGCUGCUGCCAUUGGGUUGGGCCCUGUGAUUGGUCUAAUAGUUCAUUGCUAGGGACAUAUGCACCUAUUAGCUGGGAAUCCAAACAUAUACAUGCUAAUAUUUACCUGGAAAUUGUCUAAUCUUUUUUCUCUCCUUUUCUGUUUCAUAAGAUGUUGUAAGACCCCGGGUCCUCUUUUGUUCUAAUAAAUUCUAGUAGGGGGCAACCCCUCCUGUUCUCCUAAAGAAAAAGUUAGUUGGCUAAUUUUUCGCUCUGGCUAAUAACUUGUCAGACGAUCCAAACAAAAGCUCAACCUAUAUUCCAUUAAUGACAUUAUGGUCAGAGGUUGAUGUUCAGUGUUAUAAUUCUUUAGAUUCCAAAUUCUCAGCAUUUAGAUAAGACUAGGAAGGAAGGGACACUCGCCCCGCCAGUUACAACAGCUACAACAUAUAGGUUUUCUACUAGAAAUUACUAAGCAAAGACAUAUCACCUAGUAAUUGUAAGACAUAAUCUGCUGAUCCAAUUGCAAUUGUUUUGCUUUCCUGGUACAGUCAAGAACUGUAGAUGAUCAGCAAUCAGCUGAUCGGUUCUGGUACUUUUAGAGUAUGGCAAUAGGCCACUACUGUAGCCAUUAGUUGGUAGAAGGUACAUCAGCAAUAGUGUUGUACUAGGAGUAGGUAGGACUAUACCAGCCAUGAUCUAUGUACCUGUAUAGAGGUACUAGAUAUGUGUAUAAAUAUGUAUGCAAUACAUCAAGCAAAGGCAGCUCAUUUUGCCACCAACAUUCAGAGUUCAAAGUUUCAGCCUGUUAACAAUAGGCGCCCUAAUGGGCUGUAAUGGGCCGGUGCGGUUAAGCACCUUAGGGAUUAAGAUAGAUUGAUAAGGCAAGGAUCACCAUUGGUUGGGUGUUUCUAUAAACCCUUAGGGAUCCUUGCCUAUAUAAUGUACCCCUGUACCUCUUAAUCAAUAAUCCCGAGGCUAAUUGCUCUCAUGGUAUCACACCUAGGUUAGGUCAGCUUCCGCUACAUCAUGCGCGCUGGCCUCUAGCCGCGCCGGCCUCUCACCGCGCAGCGCUUCUUCCCCAUCCCGCGCGCCCGCCCUACUGUGUCGCGCCCGCCUGCCAUGUCGCCCACCACUCCUAACGACGGGCAGGACAACCACGACUCCUCUAUUUCCGUUCAAGAUGACGAGGUCGCCCAACGGAUCGCCAAGGAGCAGGCCAACACUGCCGCCGCCGCCGCACAGAAAGUGGAGCGCGACCGCGCAGCUGCUUGCGACGACGCCCUGGCCCGUGCACUCGAGGCCGAGCAGGAGGCCGAGGCCGCGGCCCAGGAGCGCGACGACGCGGCCAAGCGCACCUCGAACGCCCUCGCACGCGCAGCCCUGAAGUGGGCGGCCGCCGCCGCCGCCGUGGCUCCUUCGUCGUCAGAGGCUCUGCCAGGUGGUGCCUCUGCAUCGUUCGACGGCCCACCACCUGAUCUCCGCGCCGCCAUGCUUCAUCAUGAAGCUGUGGCUCUGCUACAACUCCACUCCCAGGCUGUCGCCGUCAGCAACAUCCGGAACCACGUCACCACUGUCCUCGACGUUUGUAAGUGCAUUCGCCCCCGAUGUGGGUUUUGAUAAUUAAAGACAAUCAAAUUGGGAACUAACAUGUUUAUCAAGUAUAAUCUACAGGUGUUAGUUUAUUGAUGGAAUUAAACGAAAACAUUUGGUGAAUCACAGCACCCCCAAAUUUUCAAUGAAUGAGCGACGUUUCGACUCCAGUGGCUACAUAGUUUUAUUCUUUGUUUGAGUUAUAGGAAACGCCGCACUAUCAAGAGGGAUGCAAAUUAAGUUGGUAAGAUGAGGAUAAGGGUGCUUGAGGUGCCCUCCGAGGAUGCUGAGGACCCCCCGACGCCCGCGCUCUACAUCCCUCCUGUGCUGUGGGUGUCAGGGCCACCCUCUUCCGCGCCACGCGCAGCCCUGGAGCUCACCACGUCUACGAGCAUCGACCACGUGAGCCGCUGGUGGCCGCCCCGGCUGCUCCUGCUGCACCGAUCGCCCCCGCCCUUGCUGCUGCUCCAGCAGCCCCGCUGCCAAAGGGUGCGGUUGCAGUCCCUCCGGUGACCAUCCAGCACUCCAUGGGCACUCGGUCGAAGAGCGGCUACAGGAUGCCCUCUAUCUACCACGUCGUGCCUCUCUCUCCGGUGCCGAAGACCUUCCGUAGCGCUCUUGCUGAUCCCCAUUGGCGACCAGCUAUGGAGGAAGAACACAAUGCUCUUCUUCAGAAUCACACCUGGGACCUUGUGCAUCGCCCGCCUCGGGCCAAUGUUGUCACUAGGAAGUGGAUCUUCAAGUACAAGCUUCAGUCUGAUGGCUCCCUCGAGCGGUACAAGGCACGUUGGGUUCUUCGUGGUUUUACCUAGCGGCCUGGUGUGGACUUUGAUGAGACUUUCAGUCCUGUGGUGAAGCCCGCUACUGUUCACACGGUGCUCACCUUAGCGCUCACACGCCACUGGCCCAUUCUUCAUGGCAACUUGACUGAGACAGUUUACUGCCAGCAACCGUCCGGGUUCAAAGAUUCAGCUCAUCUGGAUUUUGUAUGCCUUUUGAAGAAGUCCCCCUAUGGCCUGAGGCAGGCCCCUUGUGCUUGGUACAGCCGGAUGGCCUCCUACUUGCUGUCUAUUGGGUUUGUUGAAGCCAAGUCAGACACCUCACUCUUCAUCUACCAGCGCGAAUCCGACACAGCCUACCUGUUGCUCUAUGUCGAUGAUAUUGUCCUCACAGCCUCGUCCUCAGAUUUCUUCGGCGGAUUAUCUCAGCACUCCAGCGGGAGUUCGCCAUGAAAGAUCUUGGUGAACUUCAUCACUUCCUUGAUAUGCAUGUUCAGCGACGUGAUGAUGGACUCCUCCUUUCAUAGCGACAGUACAUGCUGGAUAUCUUAGAUCAUGCCAGAAUGACUGAGUGCAAGCCGUGCUCUACACCAGUUGACACUAACUCCAAGGUUGUUGCAGCUGAAGGGGCCCCUGUGUCUGAUGCUACAGACUUCCGUAGUCUUGCUGGAGCUCUUCAGUACUUGACAUUCACUCGCCCAGACAUUGCAUAUGUUGUUCAGCAGGUCUACCUCCACAUGCAUGACCCUUGAGAGCCUCACCUUGCUGCUCUGAAGUGGAUUCUUCGCUAUGUUCGGGGCACACUUCACCUCGGUCUCCUGCUGCGACCGUCUACUUCGACUGAUCUUGUUGUCUAUAACAACGCUGAUUAGAAUCAGCUGGUGUCCCGACACUCGCCGAUCCACCUCAGGUUAUGCAGUGUUCCUCGGUGACAAUCUUGUUUCCUGGUCCUCCAAGCGUCAAAAUACAGUUUCAAGAUCAAGUGCUGAAGCCGAGUAUCGCGCAGUGGCUAAUGGAGUUGCAGAGGCGACCUGGCUGCGUCAGGUUCUCUUGGAGCUACAUGCCCCUCUUCGGCGCGCCACACUGAUGUACUGUGACAACAUCAGUGCUGUCUACAUGACCUCCAAUCCGGUGCAACAUCAGCGCACCAAGCACAUCAAGAUUGAUCUUCACUUCGUUCGAGAGAGUGUCCUACCAGCAUGUUCCCACCACCAUGUAGUAUGAUGAUAUCUUCACCAAGGGACUGCCUACCUCAGUGUUCACGGAGUUUAGGUCCAGUCUAAACAUGCAAAGUGGCUGACGUUUCGACUGUGGGGGAGUGUUAGCAAUAGGCGCCCUAAUGGGCUGUAAUGGGCCGGUGCGGUUAAGCACCUUAGGGAUUAAGAUAGAUUGAUAAGGCAAGGAUCAACGUUGAUUGGGUGUUUCUAUAAACCCUUAGGGAUCCUUGCCUAUAUAAUGUACCCCUGUACCUCUUAAUCAAUCAUGUAAUCCCGAGGCUAAUUGCUCUCACAGCCCACGCUGAAACUUCUGCAGUGAGUGUUCAAAAGUUCAGAGUUUCCCAACUUUUGAACCAAUGUAGCAUUAGUGUUGGUCCCUGCACAACCACAACAGGUAAGCAACUUGCUUACCACCUCUACUUCACUCCUUGGACCAAGGUAGAAGAAGAGAAGAACCCAGCACACAACCAGUUCAGCCUCUGCUUGAUUUCACAGGAUGUGUAGUAAUGCUAUGGGCUAAAUUGCUCCAACCUAUUUGAACUCAUAGUCUAAACUAAGAUGGGCCCUACUUGUAAUAGAAAUAUUUAUCCCUCCAACUUUCUCUCUAAAAAAUAACGAUGGCAUAUUUAUAUCACUAGGUGCAGAAACAAGCACCCUUGUCAAGAUGGGGCUUCACAGCACGCCAUGGUCCAGCAUUGAGCACCCUGGGAAUCGUUCUACGGCAAAUGUUGCAGAUGCUAUUAGUUUGUGAUGGCACACCUUGAGACAGUGAUGUAGGAAAUGUUGGAACAUGUACUAUGUAACAUCCCAGAUUUUUUACGUAAACCAAAAAUACGAGCUUUUUAAAAUUUUUCCUAUAGUCGUAUGAAGCAUAUAGUUUUUAGGUCUAACUCGAUCUUAACCCGCUAACAAAACGUCGCAUUCAUUUAGAAUUGUUUGUAGACGAGUGCUCUUGUUCGUGAGUCGUCUUAAGUUGGGUCUUGUUUAUGGUUUUGAGUUUCUUUUGGAGUGCACAAUCUGUAGCAAAGUCUUCCCGAAUCUCCGUUGAGCCUAUCUCAAAGGCGAAGCGAAUCCCUUCUCAACCUUUCUAUUGGAGUACGUCUCAAACUCCUUUGAAUUCCUUCCAAACUCCUUUCUAACCCUAUGUGAUCUUUCUCACCUACUUGGUUCCCUUCCUAAAUCCCCUCUUUGAAUCCAUCUUGUGACAUUCCUUUGUGCUUAAUCCAAAAAUAGAAAAACCUUCCUUCUUCUCUAGCCCAGCCGGCCUGCUUGCUUUGCACCAGCCCAGCAACCCUCCCUCGGCCCAACUCGUCCUCCUCUUGCCUCUAGCCCAACUGGCCGAAAGGCCCUGGCUUCUCCCCUUUCCCCCACCGCGGCCCAACCUGCUCCCCAUCCCCCUCCGCGGCCCAGGUCGCCAGGCCCAGAGCGCGCGAGCUCCCCCAACCCUAGCGAGCAG